UGCCAAACACCUGCAGCCAGUGGUAAAGGCUUAAAACCGCCCCAACUUCCUUAUUGCCUUAAAAAUAAAAAGUAAUGAGAAAUGGAUUUCUAUGCUGAGUAAGCAGAACAAAAGCCACCUAGAACUUAGCUUUUAUAUAACGCCCAGAAUUUAAAAAACUCAAAAACCCCAUACUGACCAUCUUGUCCAAAUCGUCAUAUCUGGAGAAUCAAAACAGUUUCGGUAUAAAUCAUUAUGCUCUUGGCUGCCUAAAUUAGGUACAACUUAAUAUAAAGUUCAGUAAUCUUCCCAGUUGUAAAUUCUUCCUGUCCCCUGUAUUCCCCACAAAAACAUGCGUUAGAAAAGCGCUGGGAUUCCUUCUGGUCCCCUGCAAGCUGUUUCUGGUGCAACCACAGUUCGCGAGUAGAAAACCCCGGGCCCGGAGCAGUUCAACUGCCGCCCUGGCCACACCCUGGGCCACGGCUCCUUCCCGGCCUGGACCGAAGAUAAACAAAUCGCGCCUGUUCUCCAGACCUCACAUUAGCGCUGACUCACAGGGUGCCCAGAGCGGGCCUCAGUCGCCUCGCGAAGAAGGAAAAAUGUGCAGAUUUUUCCUCUCACGCGAGGGUCCGCCGUGUCUAGCUGGCCAAUCAUCGGAGGGCUGCGGGAAUCGCACCAAAGUAGGUAAAAAAUGCGGGGUGCCGCCCCAUCCGAGGCUACCGCCAACCUCCCGACCCUGUCCUCCCACCCGCGCGCCCCGCCCAGCCUGCACCCCAGCCCCACCCCCAAAGGCGUGCACACCUGGCCAGGUGGCCGUUUCUAUAUAUGGGCAAUGGCGGUGCAGUGGGCGGGGCGGAGUGUGGCCGAGCCCCCUACGGGGUAAGAGCCGGGCCUCUCCACUUUAGACGUCCUUUGCCCGCCCCUGGCCAGCAGGUGCCAGCCCAAGCUCCGCCUCUCAUCACCUGCAGUUGAGGAAGUAGAACCUGCCCGCGCCCCUCAAGACUGGAGCUGGCGAAGGGGUCCCGCCCCUCAGCCCCGGGCAGGUGAGCGACGCCCCCGCAGUCCGGACUCCAGGCUGCCCCCGGGGCGGGGCAUUGCCGGGCCGGCCCGUCGUGUAGCAACGCGGGCAGUGCGUGACGUGCGCAGGCGCAUUUUGACCCGAGGCGCGCGACCGCCCCUUAGUAGGCUCACGGUGCCGCGUCGGCUCUGCGCUCGCUUUCUCGUCCUGCUGGUGUGAGGAGGUUGUUCCGCACACUCGGUUCCCGCCGGCUCCCUCCCCUGAAUCCCUGCAACCGCCGCUGCGAAGAUGGCGCCCGGAGUGCAAGUUGCUGAUGAAGUAUGUCGCAUUUUUUAUGACAUGAAAGUUCUGGAAAUGCUCCACACCUGAGGAAAUUAAAAAAGAAAGAAGGCUGUCAUUUUUUGUCUCAGUGCAGACAAAAAGUGCAUCAUUGUUGAAGAAGGCAAAGAGAUCCUAGUUGGAGAUGUGGGUGUGACCAUCACUGAUCCCUUCAAGCAUUUUGUGGGGAUGCUUCCUGAAAAGGAUUGUCGCUAUGCCUUGUAUGAUGCAAGCUUCGAGACCAAGGAGUCCAGGAAAGAAGAGCUGAUGUUCUUUUUGUGGGCCCCAGAACUGGCCCCUCUGAAGAGUAAGAUGAUCACGCCAGCUCUAAGGAUGCGAUCAAAAGAAGUUCCAAGGCAUCAAACACGAAUGUCAAGCAAAUGGGCGGAAGACCUCAAGCGAGCUUGUAUUGCCGAAAAGCUGGGUGGGUCCUUGAUUGUAGCCUUGAAGGGUGCCCGUGUAGUGUCGUUCCAGUGCCACAGCGAAAGCUUCUGUGUUUAAUGUUACCCUCUUGCUCCAUAAGUAAAGCAGAUGCAUUUAUGCCAGGGUCUCACUGAGGGAGCUGUCUUGUCAUCUUUGAGUAAAUAUUCUAUAAACCUGUGCAAACGGCGCGGCCCUAAAUAAACCUAGCAUCAAAGUGUAAUUGGUGUGAAAUGAAAUUCUUACUGGCCAAAUGCCUGUUUUGAUGAGUUGACUUACAAAGAUUUUUGUUAAAGCUCAGGAUUUUUAAUAAAGCUCAGGAUUUUUAAUAACAGUUCACAAAACAGUAUAGAUAUAGAGGCCAUAUGAAGAGAAUCAUUCUGUCUUUCAUUAACCUCAGCAGUUACUUUCUUUUGUUUGAAAAUUGAUUACAAUCUGGUUAUAAUUUUGGCCCAGAAUUAUUCUUCUUGACCCACACAGAAUGGGUUGUCCUCCCCUAACGUGUACCCACACUAACCCACUAGCAGCAGUGAGUCUCAGGCAGCCUUUAGUUCUCCCAGAAGUCGCAUCUACUGUGACUCACCCUGAUCUUGCAAAGCCUGCCUCGAGUGGCACAGCUGUCCCCGCACCUGGGGCUGCAGGCUCUCACCUUGUAUCUUGGGAAUUGUGGUGUGGCUUCAGAAGAUGGGGACUAAUUCUAAUGCAAAUUAGCGCUCAGGAACUGUACUCUGCUUUCUAAUGAAAAUGCUUCAACCGGCAGUAUCUAGGUAGGCUAGGACAUCUCACACCUGCGUCUCCUUCAGAGCUGCAGCACCCCGUAUGAUAUGAUGGCAAGAACACUUGAGUGUUUCUUCCAGGGCCUAGGAGAACUUUGUUUCCUAGAGCAGUGUGUCACUUGUGUGGAGUGGGGAGCUGGUACCUAGUGACUGCGCAGAUGUGAUUGUCCUUAACACCACAGGCAUGACAUUUGAACAAGAGAAAUGCACAGUCUUAGAAGUAGCAGUUACUGGCUUUAUGUAAUAAAGGAAGCAUUUUUAACUUCUCUGGUGUCAUCAUUCACAUGUGAGUUGGGGAUGGAGGGGUUUUACCUUCCACAAGGGGAUUCUGGGGGUUUCGCAUGGGUGACUCAGCUUCUACCUUCUCUGAUUGAAAGAGGAAGCUGGUAUAAAAGUUGGGAACCUUUUUCUUAGUAGUGUUUAAUGCAAGGCUAGGCUUUGGGAGGCAAAAAAGGUCAUGCUUUCAUCAAAAUAUCUUUCAAGACUUGCUAAGCGCAAGGACCCAAGUUCAAUCCCCGGUACAAAAAAAAAAAAAAGACUGGCUGGAAAAGUGCUGGCUGCUUGCCAUUCUCCCAUCUGGAACUGAACACUGCUCUGUGAUGUGUGUAAACAGGCCCCAGGGAAGCAUCUGGCCAGGCUGCCCUGCUCCCCUGCCCGCCGCCUCAGGCCGUGUCCCUCAGGAGGCGCUGUGGGCUGAGUGCAGGCGCUUGGCUGGGGGGCUUCUGUGCAGCAUUCAGGGAGGUAACACAAAGUCAGCAUCUCCCACACCCCUUUUCCUGCAAAAGUAGUGGGUGCCGGAGGUUACUUUCAGUUCUCUGCGUGGAUACUGGCAGGGGCUGGGGGCCCAGACACUGUUGCCAACCUCCUGGUGACCUGAGCAGCAUGAAGUUGUGGACCAAAAAGGUCCAGGUCCACCCCACUUCCAGGGCACUUCAACACCCUUACAGGCUGGCGCAUUAUGGAAACGAGCCUGUGGACAGGUUGUGGCUCUGCACGCCUGGAGGUGGGCGUGGACCAGGUACUGAGCUCAGGUCUCCUGCCUUGUGGGUUGGGGGCGGCCUAGGUGGGAGCCAGGCUCAGCCUGACCGGCAGAGUGGCCUUGAAGGACUGUUAAAGGAACUUGGCCAGUCAGGUCACUUAGUUUACAAGUGGCGGAACUGGACAAAGACAGGGUUCUGAGCAGUUCUCGCCACCUCUAGAUGGUUCAGGUUUGAGUCUAACAUCUGGAAUUUGGAGGUCAGCGCUCAGUACCAUGUGCGCCACUUCAGGGAUAGAACUGCUAGCCUGAGCAACAACAAGGAACUGGGGGAGUCAUCAGGCUACAGCCCUGUCCAACCCAAUAUUGCCCACAGCCUUACUGGCGUCCCUGUCCUCUCCCAGGCUGUGAGGGCCACUUGCCAAGCCAGUGUCCUGUCCUGUGCCUUUCAGUGAGUACC
This 3947-nucleotide long non-coding RNA is filed under the name Heterocephalus glaber (naked mole-rat). Its description in RNAcentral is "lncRNA (ENSHGLG00000049638.1)". Lineage: Eukaryota; Metazoa; Chordata; Mammalia; Rodentia; Bathyergidae. The record is from RNAcentral.